Molecule: long non-coding RNA, 223 nt
Filed under: Musa acuminata (dwarf banana)
Lineage: Eukaryota; Viridiplantae; Streptophyta; Magnoliopsida; Zingiberales; Musaceae
Description: long non-coding RNA (MACU_LNC009623)
Source: RNAcentral
AGGUAGGGUGUCGCCAUGUACUUACACGUGGCGAAACAGACUACACCCACGUCGACCACUGUGCCACCUGGAGAUGAUGAUGUAUCGUUUUCGUUCUUAUUAAGAUGUCACGUUCGUGUGGGCAGACUCGUGUCAAACCCAUCGCCCGCCGAUGAUGAUCGAUACCCACUUCAAAUGGGAAUUGCAGUGGGCUGUUUGCUUAAAUAAGAUUCAAAUAUCUUUU